AUUGAACGCUGGCGGCAGGCUUAACACAUGCAAGUCGAGCGAGCGGCGGACGGGUGAGUAAUGUCUGGGAAACUGCCUGAUGGAGGGGGAUAACUACUGGAAACGGUAGCUAAUACCGCAUACCAUCAGAUGUGCCCAGAUGGGAUUAGCUAGUAGGUGGGGUAAUGGCUCACCUAUGCGACGAUCCCUAGCUGGUCUGAGAGGAUGACACGCCACCCUGUAACUGAGAGACGGUCCAGGUUCCUAGGGGAGGCAGGAGUGGGGAAUAUUGCACAAUGGGCGCAAGCCUGAUGCAGCCAUGCGGCGUGUGUGAAGAAGUCCUUCGGGUUGUAAAGAACUUUCAGCGAGGAGGCGUUACUCUCAGAAGAAGCACCGGCUAACUCCGUGCCAGCAGCCGCGGUAAUU
This 405-nucleotide ribosomal RNA is filed under the name uncultured bacterium. RNAcentral describes it as "partial 16S ribosomal RNA". It matches the Rfam family "Bacterial small subunit ribosomal RNA", at positions 30 to 525 of the family's 1533-position model. The record is from RNAcentral.